Molecule: transfer RNA, 73 nt
Organism: Thalassobacter sp. 16PALIMAR09
Lineage: Bacteria; Pseudomonadati; Pseudomonadota; Alphaproteobacteria; Rhodobacterales; Roseobacteraceae
Rfam family: tRNA
About the family: Transfer RNA (tRNA) molecules are approximately 80 nucleotides in length. Their secondary structure includes four short double-helical elements and three loops (D, anti-codon, and T loops).
Source: Rfam
AGGGGUAUAGCUCAGUUGGUAGAGCAGCGGAUUCCAAAUCCGCAGGCCUCGGGUUCGAAUCCUGAUGCCCCUG